RNAcentral lists this transfer RNA (72 nucleotides) under Ictidomys tridecemlineatus (thirteen-lined ground squirrel). RNAcentral's name for it is "Spermophilus tridecemlineatus (thirteen-lined ground squirrel) tRNA". It matches the Rfam family "tRNA". Rfam says of the family: Transfer RNA (tRNA) molecules are approximately 80 nucleotides in length. The record is from Rfam by way of RNAcentral. Lineage: Eukaryota; Metazoa; Chordata; Mammalia; Rodentia; Sciuridae.
GGGGGUAUGACCCAGUGGUAGAGCACUUGCCCAACAUGCAUGAGGCCCUGGGUUCAGUUCCUAGCACUCCCC